RNAcentral lists this ribosomal RNA (325 nucleotides) under uncultured Planctomycetota bacterium. Its description in RNAcentral is "bacterial SSU rRNA". It matches the Rfam family "Bacterial small subunit ribosomal RNA", at positions 30 to 351 of the family's 1533-position model. The record is from RNAcentral. Lineage: Bacteria; Pseudomonadati; Planctomycetota.
AUUGAACGCUGGCGGCAUGGCUAAAACAUGCAAGUCGAACGCGAAAGUGGAGCUUGCUCCACAAGUAGAGUGGCGAAAGGGCGAGUAAUGCGUUUCUAACGUGCCCCAAGGUCAGGGAUAGCUCAGGGAAACCUGUGGUAAUACCUGAUAAUCCCGUCGUGCCACAUGACGCGACGGGCAAAGGCUUGCUGCCUUGGGAGCGGGGAACGUGCUAUCAGGUAGUUGGUGAGGUAACGGCUCACCAAGCCUAAGACGGCUAGCGGGUGUGAGAGCAUGACCCGCCGCAUCGGGACUGAGACACUGCCCGGACUCCUACGGGAGGCUG